This 520-nucleotide ribosomal RNA is filed under the name Sungouiella intermedia. Its description in RNAcentral is "eukaryotic LSU rRNA". It matches the Rfam family "Eukaryotic large subunit ribosomal RNA", at positions 68 to 658 of the family's 3401-position model. Lineage: Eukaryota; Fungi; Ascomycota; Pichiomycetes; Serinales; Metschnikowiaceae. The record is from RNAcentral.
CCUGCCAUUGCCUCAGUACGGCGAGUGAGCGGCAAAGCUCAAAUUUGAAAUCCUUCGGGAGUUGUAAUUUGUAGGUUGGGAGACCCCGCGGCUAGUGGCACCAAGUCCCUUGGAACAGGGCGCCUUAGAGGGUGAGAGCCCCGUAGGUACCACAACACCGUCUUGUGUCUCCUCUCCAAAGAGUCGAGUUGUUUGGGAAUGCAGCUCAAAGUGGGUGGUAAAUUCCAUCUAAAGCUAAAUACCGGCGAGAGACCGAUAGCGAACAAGUACAGUGAUGGAAAGAUGAAAAGCACUUUGAAAAGAGAGUGAAACAGUACGUGAAAUUGUUGAAAGGGAAGGGCUUGCAAGCAGACACGGCCUUCGUGCCGGGCCAGCAUCGGUUGCUAGGGGUGGAUAAGGAACAAGGAAUGUAGCUCCUCGGAGUAUUAUAGCCUUGCGCGAUACACCCACUGGCGACCGAGGCCUGCGGUAUUCUUUACCUAGGAUGCUGGCGUAAUGGUUGCAAGCCGCCCGUCUUGAC